GAUCAUGGCUCAGGAUGAACGCUAGCUACAGGCUUAACACAUGCAAGUCGAACGGCAGCACGGAGAGCUUGCUCUCUGGUGGCGAGUGGCGCACGGGUGAGUAAUACAUCGGAACGUGUCCUGUUGUGGGGGACAACCGGUCGAAAGACCGGCUAAUACCGCAUAAGACCUGAGGGUGAAAGCGGGGGAUCGCAAGACCUCGCGCAAUUGGAGCGGCCGAUGCCCGAUUAG
RNAcentral lists this ribosomal RNA (231 nucleotides) under uncultured bacterium. RNAcentral describes it as "partial 16S ribosomal RNA". It matches the Rfam family "Bacterial small subunit ribosomal RNA", at positions 15 to 244 of the family's 1533-position model. The record is from RNAcentral.